CCCGUCCUAUUCGGGCUCCCGCCUCUGUUCAGGACACUGGGUCCCCUAGGAGCCUCCCCAGGCUUAAUGAUUGUCCAGAAGGUGGCUAUAAAGGGAGCUUGGGAGGCAGGGUGGAGGAGGGAGCAGAAAAAACCCAACUCAGCAGAUCUGGAAACUGUGAGAGCGGCAAGCAGGAGCUGUGGUCAGAGGCUGUGCGUCUUGGCUGGUAGGGCCUGCUCUUUUCUACCAUGGCAGCCCAGGGCUAUGGCUAUUAUCGCACUGUGAUCUUCUCAGCCAUGUUUGGGGGCUACAGCCUGUAUUACUUCAAUCGCAAGACCUUCUCCUUUGUCAUGCCAUCAUUGGUGGAAGAGAUCCCUUUGGACAAGGAUGAUUUGGGGCUCAUCACCAGCAGCCAGUCGGCAGCUUAUGCUAUCAGCAAGUUUGUCAGUGGGGUGCUGUCUGACCAGAUGAGUGCUCGCUGGCUCUUCUCUUCUGGGCUGCUCCUGGUUGGCCUGGUCAACAUAUUCUUUUCCUGGAGCUCCACAGUACCUGUCUUUGCUGCCCUCUGGUUCCUUAAUGGCCUGGCCCAGGGGCUGGGCUGGCCCCCAUGUGGGAAGGUCCUGCGGAAGUGGUUUGAGCCAUCUCAGUUUGGCACUUGGUGGGCCAUCCUAUCAACCAGCAUGAACCUGGCUGGAGGGCUGGGCCCUAUCCUGGCAACCAUCCUCGCCCAGAGCUACAGCUGGCGCAGCACGCUGGCCCUGUCUGGGGCACUGUGUGUGGUUGUCUCCUUCCUCUGUCUCCUGCUCAUCCACAAUGAACCUGCUGAUGUUGGACUCCGCAACCUGGACCCCAUGCCCUCUAAGGGCAAGAAGGGCUCCUUGAAGGAGGAGAGCACCCUACAGGAGCUGCUGCUGUCCCCUUACCUGUGGGUGCUCUCCACUGGUUACCUUGUGGUGUUUGGAGUAAAGACCUGCUGUACUGACUGGGGCCAGUUCUUCCUUAUCCAGGAGAAAGGACAGUCAGCCCUUGUAGGUAGCUCCUACAUGAGUGCCCUGGAAGUUGGGGGCCUUGUAGGCAGCAUCGCAGCUGGCUACCUGUCAGACCGGGCCAUGGCAAAGGCGGGACUGUCCAACUAUGGGAACCCUCGCCAUGGCCUGUUGCUGUUCAUGAUGGCUGGCAUGACAGUGUCCAUGUACCUCUUCCGGGUAACAGUGACCAGUGACUCCCCCAAGCUCUGGAUCCUGGUAUUAGGAGCUGUAUUUGGUUUCUCCUCGUAUGGCCCCAUUGCCCUGUUUGGAGUCAUAGCCAAUGAGAGCGCCCCUCCCAAAUUGUGUGGCACCUCCCACGCCAUUGUGGGACUCAUGGCCAAUGUGGGCGGCUUUCUGGCUGGGCUGCCCUUCAGCACCAUUGCCAAGCACUACAGUUGGAGCACAGCAUUCUGGGUGGCUGAAGUGAUUUGUGCAGCCAGCACAGCUGCCUUCUUCCUCCUACGAAACAUCCGCACCAAGAUGGGCCGAGUGUCCAAGAAGGCUGAGUGAAGAGAGUCCAGGCUCCGGAGCACCAUCCCACGGUGGCCUUCCCCCUGCACGCUGUGGGGGAGAAAAGGAGGGGCCUGCCUGGCUAGCCCUGAACCUUUCACUUUCCAUUUCUGCGCCUUUUCCCUCACCUGGGUGGCACUGGAAGUUAUCAGUGGCUAGUGAGGUCCCAGCUCCCCGAUCCUAUGCUCUAUUUAAAAGAUAACCUUUGGCCUUAGACUCCAUUAGCUCCUAUUUCCUGCCUUCAGACAAACAGGAAACUUCUGCAGUCAGGAAGCCUCCUGUACCCUUCUUCUUUUCCUAGGCCCUGUCCUGCCCCCAUCCCCACCAGAAGUGAGGCUAUCCCUGCAGCUGCAGGGCACUAAUGACCCUUGACUUCUGCUGGGCCCUAAGUCCUCUCAGCAGUGGUCGACUGCUGUUGCCAAUACCUCAGACUCCAGGGAAAGAGAGGAGGCCAUCAUUCUCACUGCACCACUAGGCGCAGUUGGAUAUAGCUGGGAAGACAAGAUGACUU
RNAcentral lists this small RNA (2028 nucleotides) under Pongo abelii (Sumatran orangutan). RNAcentral describes it as "processed transcript". The record is from RNAcentral. Lineage: Eukaryota; Metazoa; Chordata; Mammalia; Primates; Hominidae.